This is a long non-coding RNA of Haliotis rubra (blacklip abalone), 115 nucleotides long. RefSeq lists it as uncharacterized. NCBI's taxonomy places the organism in Eukaryota, Metazoa, Mollusca, Gastropoda, Lepetellida, Haliotidae. The record is from RefSeq and is a predicted model, not a curated record. The transcript is spliced from 3 exons.
AGACAUUGCGUUAUUCAGCGCCGUACGGCUCAUGAAUGGGUUACUCAAAACACGUCUGUUCACGGCCGUGACAGCAGAAGGAAUGAUGAUACGGGUCUAGGAGCCUACCCAGUUG